AAACGAUUGAAGUCAGUCGUACCGAUGGGUAAUCAGCCUUUUGGGUGCGAUUAUGUGGUACGUGGAAAGAUUUCACGGUUGCAUAUUUGUGCCUUUUGGGUGUACUUGCUCGUAUGGUAGGUUAACAUCAAUUUCGGACAUCAUAAAAUGGCGGGAGGAAUGUAGCUUCCCCGGAAGUGUUAUAACCUCUGGUAGAUGUGAUGCCCGGGAUUGAGGAUUGCAACGAAUACCCUCAGGGCUACCUGUCUGGCCUCUGGUCGUCGCUUUGGUGCCGAAAGCGUGCUUAU
This 287-nucleotide ribosomal RNA is filed under the name Glomus sp. RNAcentral's name for it is "partial large subunit ribosomal RNA". Lineage: Eukaryota; Fungi; Glomeromycota; Glomeromycetes; Glomerales; Glomeraceae. The record is from RNAcentral.